CUCCUGGAGGUCAAUCUCAGAAUUUGUUCCCCCACCAGUCCCCACUAUGGUUGGGCCCCUCUGGAGUUUUUAACUCUUAGAAUUGUCCACACUGAGCCUCUAGCAAUUUGCAAAUUACAGUUCAGGUUUUCCUACUGCAGCACUGCUUCCUGAGGAGGAUUUCUGCGCAUGAGUCUCUGCUCCGAGAAUAAUCUUCAUGGUAACUAGCCUCAUCUAGGAGCAAAAACGAUAACUUGGUUAAUGUGGACACUGAUCAAGCACAUCUUGUAGGCCAACGGAAAGAUUCUAAACAUUGAGAGAGUUCUGGAAAAUAGCUGAGCAAUACAGAUGUACAAUAAUGGAUGGUACAGCAAAGAACUAGACACCAGAGUCCCAUAUUGGGAAUGUGGCCUGCCCUCUUCAAGAUCUCUGUGAGCCUGACCGGAGGUCAGCAGGCAGAUCAGAGUCAAAAAAGCAAUGUGAUGAUGGAAGCAUAGUUGGAGUGACGUGAUUUGAAGAUGCAGGAAGCGGCUACAAGCCAAGGAAUGUGAGUUACCUCUAUAAGCCAGCAAAAGCAAGACAACAGAUUCUUUCCUGGAGCCUCUGGGAAUAAGGAAGCCCUGCCAAUUCCUUGACUUUUCAGCCCUGCAUUAGGACUCACUUUAGACUUUUGACCUUCAGAAUUGUAAGGUAAUACAUUUGUGUUGUUUUAAACCAUUGAGUUUGUGGUAAUCUACUACAGCAGCAAGACAAAUCUAUCACACCCUCCCUUUUCUCCUCUUUCUUUAGCACCAUGAUUCCACAACAUUUUUCAAGGAAAGGCACAGCAAAGUUCUUGUGGAAAGCACUCUGUUACAGAAUUCCCUCAUCAAAGUUUAGAUAAUGCAUUUUAUAGAACUCAAAGGAAAGAUGCAUUUUUAAAACCACAAUAUAUUUUAAGAUCAUAGUAUAAAACAAUGCCUUAACAAACACAAAACAAAUUAUAAGGUUUUCCUCUGUAAAGGUAGUUUUCGUUAAUUGAUAAACUAGUUUUGG
Molecule: long non-coding RNA, 1014 nt
Filed under: Equus caballus (horse)
Lineage: Eukaryota; Metazoa; Chordata; Mammalia; Perissodactyla; Equidae
Description: lncRNA (ENSECAG00000052025.1)
Source: RNAcentral